RNAcentral lists this transfer RNA (71 nucleotides) under Stegodyphus mimosarum. It matches the Rfam family "tRNA". Rfam says of the family: Transfer RNA (tRNA) molecules are approximately 80 nucleotides in length. Their secondary structure includes four short double-helical elements and three loops (D, anti-codon, and T loops). Lineage: Eukaryota; Metazoa; Arthropoda; Arachnida; Araneae; Eresidae. The record is from Rfam by way of RNAcentral.
GCCUUCGUGGUGUAACGGUAGCAUACUCGGCGCGAACUCGAGGGGUCCAGGUUCGAUUCCCGGAGAGAGCA